Molecule: transfer RNA, 70 nt
Filed under: Marmota monax (woodchuck)
Lineage: Eukaryota; Metazoa; Chordata; Mammalia; Rodentia; Sciuridae
Description: tRNA.Thr
Source: RNAcentral
GGGCUGUAGCUCAGUGGUAGAGUGCUUGCCUAGUACAUGCAAGGCCCUGGGUUUGAUCCCCAGAAACACA